This is a long non-coding RNA of Mastomys coucha (southern multimammate mouse), 2379 nucleotides long. RefSeq lists it as uncharacterized. Lineage: Eukaryota; Metazoa; Chordata; Mammalia; Rodentia; Muridae. The record is from RefSeq and is a predicted model, not a curated record. The transcript has 2 exons.
ACCUAAGAAUGUCAUCAGACAGCAUCUGAGACCUGGAGCAGAGGCCCACUGCCUGCUCUUUCCACCCACAUAAAUGAAAAGGGAUAGCUCUCUUUGUUCUCUUACUACAAACACUGCAUUCAACUCUUACUACAUCGGAACACAGUGUCUGGGGUGACCUGAAUCUGUGUCCCCAAGCUGCAGCCACUCAUAUUUGGCCCAGAAUAAACUGUCGCACUCCUGAGGAUAUUAGUGAAGACAGAGGACUUGUGACCCUGAAAUUAACCCCUGGGUACCUCCCACCUGUGCACAGCACAUUCAUGGACUGUGUAGAAACAGGAGCUGUGUGACUUCAGCAAAGCCUCGGAAGCCAACUGUUGAACCCCUGUACCCUUCCAUCUAGAGGUCUUCCUGGUAAGGACUUCAGGACUCCAGGAGAGACUGCCCCCAAUCAAAUCCAAGAGCAGCAAGUAGGAAAGCCAGAGGCAGAAUCAAAGAAACCUGCUCCCUGAAGAUUUUUUGGGUCAGCUCCAAGAACUUUCCUUCUCCCUCUGCCAGCAGCACCCAUCAAUUCCCAUAGCAACCAGCCCACAGCUUUGCAACUUGUCCAAAAGGGAGGCGCACAGCAGCGGCAGCACACAAGAGGAAACCAGGCAGCAAUCUCAGCUAGGUGCUUUCACGCUCCAACAGUGCCUCCCUGCCUCCCAAUUCACACUACCAGACUGCUUUCCUCUGACCCCUCAGCCAGAAGCUGAGACAAAAUGGAGAUUCAAUCACAUAAAACAAGAUUCUGCUUUCCAGUGUGAUUUUAGAUCAGUCAGUAUGGCACUAAAGCAAUCAUGUCUCCUUGCUCACUCAGUGAAUCAAUGUACUCAAUUCGGGAGCCUCUAGAACUGACAUUAAUAUUGGGAUGACCUAGGAGUGACCAUCCAAGAACCUCAGAAGUGAUGAAUGUUUGCUGAAGUAGCUGGAGACAGCUGAGUCUUGUGAAGAGCAGGUCUCGAGAAGAACUGCAGGGGACCAGCACCAUGCGUGUCCCCAACAUACUUCCCAGGGACGCUGCAAUGAGGAGCACACGGCAUUAUGAUGACUUCCAAUAAGAGUAGUGGGUGUUAGCAGAAGUAGGGGAUACAUUAGUGAUAAUUAAAAGCUGUGAGCUGGAGAUGCAUGUUUAGUGAUUUAGUAUGUACCUCCUAUGCAAGAUUCCUGGUUCCAUCUCAGGACAACAGAAACAAAACAAUAGAGGAGUGCUGAGAGGAAAAAGAAUAACUAAGGAACCCAACAUGCUUAUCUAAAGAAUCACUGUGUUGAAAGAGAUUUUCUCUUCUCCCACACAAAAAUGACAAAAAUCAAACUAAAAGUUCCCAGCAUGGGCUAUAAAGCAAUUGUGCAAGUUUCACAUCUUCUUACGAAAGCUAACAGGCAAGGAAACCAAAGAGCAUGAUGGGAUCCCAUGUGCAUGCGGUGGUGGCACUUCUCACCGCCCACAAGAUCAGCAUUGGCUACAGCAGACUCCGGUAGCCCAACUAGAGUUCCAGCCCACACUCCUGCCCACUUCACAUUGCAACCAGGAUAUUCCGUGAUUUUCCACUGAAGACCCCAGAACACUGUGGUGGGGAGUGCCCAACUUUUACCUUAGACACUAGACUGACCCUAAAAGAAUAUUUCAUAUUACCAAAAGAACAGAAAUGGAACCCAAUACAUGAAGAAAGAAACUAUCUCUAUGUGAUCAGUAAAUCUUCUUAAACUAAACUUUUUUAAAAACAGAGAUGGGAAAUAUCGAAGGUAUAAAAAACAGUUGCCCAGGAGAUCAAAGCUUCUAAAAGAAAUCUAAAUUCCCAUGUAAACGUGCUACAAUUCUAGUACAACUAAGAAGAUAUUCUUACAGAAUAUUCAAAAGCUAAUUCUACAGCUUCUGUGGGAAAAUCAUGAAGAAUAAUUGGGCUAAUUAUAGAAAAGAAGAUUAAUGAGAAGGGCUAGCCUCAACGCUUGCCAGCUAGUGAAAGUGUGGUGAACCUAUAAUAACUAAGAAGGAGUAAAACUGGUUUCUGAGUCAAUGGAUACACCAAAAAUCCCAAAAACACUUGAGGGAAUUUCAUGUAAGAUAAAAUGUGACACUUACAAUAAAUCAGUGUCUCAACCAUAGUAAUGGAGUAGCUAGAUAAUCAGGGGAGAACAAAGGAGGGGCUGCUCAGCCAAAUAAAACACAGUAACAAGAUGCUUACACGUCAACAGAAACCACCAGUCUUCAAAGAAAGCAAAAUGUAUUUUUCAUAAUCUUAGAGAGCCCACAUUUCUUCUAACAGGACAUAAAAAUCUAAUAUCAAGGAACUUGAAAAAUGUACAGAUGGCAAAAGUUACCAUAAAUGGCAAAAUAUAAACCAUGUAAGAAGGUGAAAA